This is a long non-coding RNA of Drosophila ananassae, 660 nucleotides long. RefSeq lists it as uncharacterized. NCBI's taxonomy places the organism in Eukaryota, Metazoa, Arthropoda, Insecta, Diptera, Drosophilidae. The transcript has 2 exons. The record is from RefSeq and is a predicted model, not a curated record.
AUCGUUAUCUCGGCGCAAAGCACUGACUCUGACUCUGACACGAUUUCGAUUUCGAUUUCUAUAUGCAUCAAUUAAGUGGCACUGGUAGAUCUGGUCUGGUCCUCGUCCCCAUUUCGGAUUCCAAUGCGAGAGCUGCAUUAUCAGUGGAAGCCGCCUUAGUGAGUGGCGACAGUACUUCAGAAUGGUUCUCAAUUAAUUCAAUUCCAGCUGAAAGUCUAAUUCCCUCAUUGGGGUCAAUUCUUGUGGCUCCAGUUGACUUCUCUUGCUUGUAAAUCCACUAUUCUAUGGGCGAGUGAUAAGUUCCCAAGAGCAGACGCUUCUUUCUUAUCAACAAGAGGAUGAAUUCUCCGCUGAAAUGAUUCUAUCAAGAAUCACUCAGAAAAGCGAACAAAGGCCCGACCUUUGGGCAGUGCAUUAAAUUAAAUAAUAAACCAACUCCCCGCCACUUACACUUUACAGUGCCGCAAAUCAGGGCAAUUUACGAGCUCCCCAAUUGCUGGGGACAUCCUGUGGCGGGCACGUGUGGGUGGCGGGAAAGGACCAAGGCUACUGCCAAGUCUAUUGACAAGGACAAGGACGAAAAUACCAAUGGCAAGGAUACGUCAACGACGCCCACGCAUACAUACACACACACUCGCUUAUAGAGUGAGAGAGAGAGAG